CUGUGUCCAACUCUUCCUCACAGGUUAGUUAAUGACAGACAGUCAGUGAGUGUGUCUGUGUCCAACUCUUCCUCACAGGUUAGUUAAUGACAGACAGUCAGUGAGUGUGUCUGUGUCCAACUCUUCCUCACAGGUUAGUUAAUGACAGACAGUCAGUGAGUGUGUCUGUGUCCAACUCUUCCUCACAGGUUAGUUAAUGACAGACAGUCAGUGAGUGUGUCUGUGUCCAACUCUUCCUCACAGGUUAGUUAAUGACAGACAGUCAGUGAGUGUGUCUGUGUCCAACUCUUCCUCACAGGUUAGUUAAUGACAGACAGUCAGUGAGUGUGUCUGUGUCCAACUCUUCCUCACAGGUUAGUUAAUGACAGACAGUCAGUGAGUGUGUCUGUGUCCAACUCUUCCUCACAGGUUAGUUAAUGACAGACAGUCAGUGAGUGUGUCUGUGUCCAACUCUUCCUCACAGGUUAGUUAAUGACAGACAGUCAGUGAGUGUGUCUGUGUCCAACUCUUCCUCACAGGUUAGUUAAUGAUGUUACUGAGUCAAUGUGAGCAGAUUGUGUCUGUAGACUGAAGAGAAUCAGAGUCUCACUGAUGGUGGAAAUAAAGGUUUUACUUCCUUAAAACA
Dicentrarchus labrax (European seabass) is the source of this 625-nucleotide long non-coding RNA. RefSeq lists it as uncharacterized. The transcript is spliced from 2 exons. Lineage: Eukaryota; Metazoa; Chordata; Actinopteri; Moronidae. The record is from RefSeq and is a predicted model, not a curated record.